Molecule: ribosomal RNA, 640 nt
Filed under: uncultured bacterium
Lineage: Bacteria
Description: bacterial SSU rRNA
Rfam family: Bacterial small subunit ribosomal RNA
Source: RNAcentral
GAGUUUGAUCAUGGCUCAGAAUGAACGCUGGCGGCGUGCUUAACACAUGCAAGUCGAACGAGGCUGGGGGGGCAACUCUCCAGUUGAGUGGCGGACGGGUGAGUAACACGUGGGUAACCUGCCCGGAAGUGGGGAAUACCUCGGGGAAACUCGAGCUAAUACCGCAUAACAUCUUCGGGACGAAAGUCCUGACGAUCAAAGCGGGGUCGCAAGAUCUCGCGCUACCGGAUGGGCCCGCGCCCGAUUAGCUAGUUGGUGAGGUAACGGCUCACCAAGGCUUCGAUCGGUAACCGGCCUGAGAGGGCGAUCGGUCACACCGGAACUGAGACACGGUCCGGACUCCUACGGGAGGCAGCAGUGGGGAAUCUUGCGCAAUGGGCGAAAGCCUGACGCAGCAACGCCGCGUGGAGGAUGAAGGCCCUUGGGUUGUAAACUCCUGUCGGCUGGGAAGAAAUCGUUCGGGGCUAAUACCUUCGGACGUUGACUGUACCAGCAAAGGAAGCCCCGGCUAACUCUGUGCCAGCAGCCGCGGUAAUACAGAGGGGGCUAGCGUUAUUCGGAAUUAUUGGGCGUAAAGGGCGCGUAGGCGGCCAUGCGUGUCUCCCGUGAAAUCCCUCGGCUUAACUGAGGACGUGCGGGG